Trichechus manatus latirostris (Florida manatee) is the source of this 441-nucleotide long non-coding RNA. RefSeq lists it as uncharacterized. The transcript is spliced from 3 exons. The record is from RefSeq and is a predicted model, not a curated record. Lineage: Eukaryota; Metazoa; Chordata; Mammalia; Sirenia; Trichechidae.
UAGUGACUCACCUACACCAUCCUGCGCGUAUCAAGACAUUGGUGCUCAGGAGGGACCAGGUUAGGGGACACUGCUCAGUGGGAGCCACUUUAAGGGACACAGAACAGGCUCAAGGAAAUUCUCAACCCUCAGCUAGUCUCCUCAACAGAUCACUGGAUUAGCAGUUCUGAACUACCAGACUGAAUAGGAAUAAUGAUGGAGCACAACCUACCAUCAGGGUUCUUGUGGAUCAAACACAGCCCAAGCCAGUUACUUCUGAAAACCACUAAUGAGACUUGGAAAUGGAACAGCAAAUGGAGGAAGGGCAACUAAUCAGGAAUGUGCCUGGACACCUGCGGAGAAAUAAACUUGUCGCUCUUGGGAGAGAAAUGGGAGAUUUAUGCCAUUAAACAGAUGCCCUGAAAUUGAGGACAGACAUGGGAAUGUAACCAGCAAGGCAAG